RNAcentral lists this long non-coding RNA (8973 nucleotides) under Ananas comosus (pineapple). RNAcentral describes it as "long non-coding RNA (ACOM_LNC044182)". Lineage: Eukaryota; Viridiplantae; Streptophyta; Magnoliopsida; Poales; Bromeliaceae. The record is from RNAcentral.
GUUGUUUAUCUAUUUUAUUGUACAUGCAUUCAUAUAUUUAUGAUUGGGCAUAGUAGCGUAGCCUUACUCCUGUCAUUUACCGCUUUCCUUAUCUAUCUAUCUAUCGAUUAUCUACUUUUGCCCGCUUUGGACCUAGUGGGGAGAUCGGCGGAGUCGGCGGCCGAACCCACUGGGAACUAAGGAAGUUAGUUCUCACCCCCCAUUUUACUACAGGUUCCAGUUCGGGUGCUCCCGGUGAGCGUGAGGAUCGUGGUAAGGGCCCGGCGCUCUAGUCGCAUUAGCUACCUCCCUUUUGCAUUAGCUGUCACCCUUUUUGUAUUUGAGAGUAGAUGUUGUAUAGGGUGAGGUUUGAGUGCUUGUACUUAUAUUUUUGGAAGAAUGUACAAGACGUACUUAAACGUAGUAAAUCAAAUGAAUGUAAUGGAUAGCCCCUUCUCUCUUAUGUACUUGUAUUCGUUUCUAUACUUGUAUCUUGCUCUUGAUUGUUGCACUGGUGGUGCUUCUUGAUCGUGUAUUUAUGAAUUGAUUCCUGGGUAAAUUCUUAUACAUGAUCUGUUGGUUAGCCUUGGACGGACAGGGGAGGUCCUGUCCGUUCGGCGUCUGUUCGACGCGCCCGGGGCCGGACCAAAUUGGUAGCGGUCUCAGGGCAUGACAAUUACGCCACGAUCAAUUGUAAGAAUAAAUCGAUCACCUUUUGGGAGCCAAGACAGAAGGAGUUCCUUUAUCGAGCCUGUCGGAGCUCUUGCUUCGUCGCGACGAUAUCGGCGACGAGAGCUAGAAAGUUGGUCAACGGCGGCUGCGUAGCAUUUUUGGCGAUCGUCGUGGAAGUGGACCGAGUGACUCCGAAUUUAGAAGAGUUAUCUGUGGUGCGGGAGUUUCCAAAUGUAUUUCCUACGGAGUUACCGGGGAUGCCGCCGGAUCGGGAGAUCGAGUUCGUUAUAGACUUGAUUCCCGGGAUGGCACCGAUCUCAAGGGCCCCAUACCGUAUGGUACCAGCAGAGCUAAGGGAAUUGAGCAGAGCUAAGGGAAUUGAGGGAUCAGUUGCAGGAUCUUCUCGACAAGGGGUUCAUCAGGCCGAGCGUAUCGCCGUGGGGAGCCCCGGUAUUGUUCGUGCGCAAGAAGGAUGGCUCGUUUCGACUCUGCGUGGACUAUCGAGAGUUGAAUAGGGCCACGAUAAAGAAUAAGUACCCGUUGCCCUGAAUCGAUGACUUAUUUGACCAAUUACAAGGGUCACGAGUGUACUCGAAGAUAGACUUGCAAUCCGGCUAUCAUCAGUUGAAGAUCAAGUCGGAAGAUGUCCAGAAGACCGCAUUCCGCAUGCGCUAUAGACACUAUGAGUACACGGUUAUGCCUUUUAGGCUCACUAAUGCCCCGACGGCGUUCAUGGAUUUAAUGAACCGUGUGUUCAAAGCGUGCUUGGACCGAUUUGUCGUGGUCUUCAUAGACGACAUCUUGGUCUAUUCGCGGAACGAUGAGGAGCACGCGGAGCAUUUGCGGAUAGUGCUUCAAAUCCUUCAGGAGGAGAAGCUAUUCGCAAAGCUAAAGAAAUAUGACUUCUGGCUUCGAGAGGUUGCCUUCUUAGGGCAUGUGAUUUUCGAGGGCGGUGUUUCAGUUGGCCCGAGGAAAGUCGAAGCGGUCGAGAAUUGGCCACGCCCGACGAACGUCACGGAGGUCCGAAGCUUUGUGGGCUUAGCGGGCUAUUAUCGACGGUUUGUGGAGAACUUUUCAAUGAUUGUGACUCCACUUACCAGUCUGACACAGAAGGGCGUCAAGUUUAUUUGGAGCGACGAGUGUGACCAAAGCUUCAACGAGUUGAAGAAAAGAUUGACGUCGGCUCCGAUACUUGCCUUACCGGUGCAGGGCGAGGACUUUGUGGUCUAUAGUGAUGCAUCCUAUCUGGGUUUGGGGUGUAUCCUGAUGCAAGGCGGGAGAGUGAUAGCUUAUGCAUCCCGUUAGCUGAAGGACCACGAGAAGAAUUAUCCCAUUCACGACUUGGAGUUGGCGGCAGUGUUCUUUGCGCUGAAGUUAUGGAGGCACUACCUAUAUGGUGCGCACUGCGAGAUCUACACUGACCACAAAAGUUUGAAGUAUUUGUUUACCCAAAAGGAGUUAAACAUGCGGCAGAGGCGGUGGCUAGAGCUAUUAAAGGAUUACGAUGUUGACAUUCUCAACCACCCCGGCAAAGCAAAUGUGGUCGCGGACGCACUUAGCAGGAAGUCGGCGAAGAAUCUCGCUUUUGAUGUUACCCAGCAAACACCCCUGUGGCUGGAUAUGGAGCGAUUGGACCUUGAAGUAGUCGCUCCCGAGGUCCCGACUCAGUUGAUGGCGCUCGUUGUUCAACCGACCUUAUUGGAGAGGAUUAAGAAAUUGCAACCUGCAGAUCCGAGUCUCCAAAAGGUGCGGCGCAACAUCGAGGAAGGUCGAGGUGGCGAUUUUAGUGUGACGCCGGUGGCGCACUUCGGUUUCGAAACCGGUGGUGCGUGCCCGAAAGUGAAGAGCUUUGCGAGUUGAUUUUGCAAGAAGCCCACCGGUCUCCAUACGCGGAUCACCCAUAUUGUGGUCGGUGUAGAUCUCGCAGUGCGUACCAUAUAGGUAGUGCCUCCACAACUUCAGCGCAAAGAUCACCGCCGCCAACUCCAAGUCGUGAAUGGGGUAAUUCUUCUCGUGGUCCUUCAGCUGACGGGAUGCAUAAGCUAUCACUCUCCCGCCUUGCAUCAGGACACACCCCAAACCCAGAUAGGAUGUGUCACGCCUCGCCCCGAGACCGCUACCAAUUUGGUCCGAUUCGGGCGCGCCGGACGGACGCCGGACGGACGCCGAACGGACAGCACCUCCCCUAUCCGCCCAAGGCUCAACACAGGAUCAUGUACAAAGAAUUUGCCCAGGGAUAAUUCAAUACAUACAUGAUCCAACAAGGAGAGAAGCACAAAGAGUACAAUACAACAAGAGCAAGUAACACAAGUAUACAUACAAGUGCAUAAAGAGAGAUACAUCUAGCUAUUACAUCACAUUCCACUUUUACGUCUUUGAUUACAUUUAAGCUUCCAAAAUGAAUACAUAAUCAUCUCAUAUAUAUAUAUAAUGCUAGCUAUCCAAAAUACAUCAUGUCAUCUAUAACCAUGCACACGAGGGUGCUCUAGUACAAUAAGAAAGCUCUACUAGCUAGCUAGGGCGCUACGCCCUUAUCGCGAUCACCUGCCGGUCCGCUCUCGUGUGUACCUAUACCCCAAAACCACACGGGGUGAGAACUAUAUAAAUAUAGUUCCCAGUGGGUUCGGCCGCCGACUCCGCCGAUCUUCCCACUAGGUCUAAGCUGGCACAAAUAGAUAGAUAGAGAGAUAGAUAGAUAUUGAACUGCAACUAUAAUCUAUUGUGCCAUCAAAUGCAUGCAAUGUAUGGAAUAUCAUCUAGCAACAAGCCUACUAUCAUGCUAGUAUGCUUCAACGAUGUAAUGAAUACAAAUACAACAUAGUUAUGUAAUCCACUAUCAUAUACUAUGUUUAACCAUGGGAUGAAUAGAAAUCCACUUAUGCAAUUUAUGUCAUUACCCCAUCCACUAGGCUACCCAGCCUGAGAUCUCAAAUCUCAUAGGUACUCACACUACAAUCUAGUAGGUGAAGAGGUGAAGAGCUACCCCGCUCUUCGCCCUGACUGAUAUCUCAAAUCUCACAGGUGAGGAGCUACCCCGCUCUUAUCUCACCCGUCUCACAUCUCAAAGGUCAUAGGUGAAGAGCUACCCCGCUCUAAUCUCAUAGGUAAUGAGCUACCCCGCUCAAUUCUCAUAAGUAAUGAGCUAACUCUAUCAAGUAUACAUGCAACUCUACUACGCUCAACAAGCUUAACAUGCUCAAUAUGCCCAAUAUGCUCAACUUGCAUAAUCCUCUUGAGUUUAUUACCCAAAUCAUCUGGCUGGCCUAUAGGCGCGCCCUCGACUCACAACUCAAAUCUGUCUAUGAAGGGGGACUUGAACCACCCGAGGGAUUGUCAGCGGGACCCCACAUAGGCUAUCCCUUGGGACCUCACAUAGGCUAUCCCAAUCGUUUCACGUGCCAAGACUUCGGAGCUCGCACUACUUGUGCGGAGCGACCGCCACAAGCGCUGAAGAGCAAAUCCGUCUAUGAAGGGGGACUCGAACCACCCGAGGGAGUGUCUGCGGGACCCCACAUAGGCUAUCCCUUGGGACCCCACAUAGGCUAUCCCAAUCGUUUCACGUGCCAAGACUCUGGAGCUCACACUACUUGUGCAGAGCGACCGCCACAAGCGCUGAACAGACUGUGUGAGUAUAAUCAAAUUCGUUUCCAACAAAGGUACCCGGUCACUACGACCAACAUGCACAAGUGUUCUUUUAACACUACGUUCUAAUGCCACUCGUCAAAUUGUUUACUUGGUUCACAUGUCACUUGCCAUAAUGCAAUUGUCCCGACUAUACUAGUCAUAUAUCCUCUAUGCAAGAUCAAGUUAUUGUUUAACUUAUCUCUAUAGGGUUCUAUGUCACAAACUCAUUCUCAUGCACCCUAAGUUCACAUGCCAAGCCUACUAUGCCGCAAUACAAGGGAGCAUGCAAGAAUAGUAAAAGUAACAUCUAAAUACCCUAACAUGCAUGAUACUAUAUAUGUAGUAUGUUCAACAUAGAAAUACUUAGACAUAGGGAGAAGCCCAGUUGCUUCGGGAUGACACCCCCCACCUUUUAUCGCUAUCACGAGGCUAGGAUUCCGAUUUCGUGAUUUUUGGAAGCUUUCGCCGCAAGUUGCGGCAAUCUGUACCCUAACAGCUUCGUUCUUUAAUAUCUUCGUGUACGCUCGUCGUAUCGCCGAACCGACUUCGCCAACGCGUCAGAAAACCUAGCAAUUAGGUUUAUACAUGAUCAAUUUAGAUCAAACCCUCACGUAUUGCAAAAUCCCAUUUUUGAGCCCUAACAUGCAAUUAGCCCCAAAUAAUCCAAAUUAAAUGGAGCAACAUGCUAAGAAUGCUCAUUAGAGGCUACUAGAAUACUUAAGGUUAAAGAUUAAGCCAAAUCCCAAAAGUUUACCCCAAUGUGAACGCCGCAAUGAAAACACGUCGCUCCAACGGGCGCACGAAAGCUCAAUCCGUUGCCUCCAACGCGUUCGCAAGCUCGAUCUCCACCAACGCCGCGAAUUUGGGCGAAAGAUCUAGAGAGAUGAGAGAGAUAUUUAGAGAGAGAAAGUGAGGAUUUCUCUCACUACCACCAUGAACGUGUGCUUGUGGGGGUGGUGCUCGGCUGUGAAGAAGAAGCCAAGUCACUAGAAGCUUCUACUUAUAGUCAACACCCCAAUAGUAGCAUACACUAUUCACUUCAGGCAGUUCGAAAUCUGAUAUCUUUCGCCGGAGCCCUCUGAAUAUCCGUUUGAGCUCAAAUUUGACAGUCAUGUUCGGUUUUGCUUAACUUAACGAAAGAAAUUUUAAUCUUUCAGUUUCGACCCCGUUUGGUCACCGAAGGUCGUACCGAACUGUAAUCUUUAUCAGAUCACUAUUGGAUUUUAUUUUCCACCUUCCGGGUGUCAAAAUGAUAUGAAACUUUAAAUCUAGCCUCAUAAAAAUAAUUCUGGCUUAUCCUCCAGUUUUCAGAAUUUUCAGACACUGUGCAUUUUCUAUUAAUUUAUCUGCCCUGUUUCACACAGAAAAUUCUAAAUCUUCUGUUUUCGCUCCGAUUUCAGCACAGGUCAUUCUCAACCUAUAUUUCACUUUUCUAAAUCCAAUAAAAAUAGUAUCUCAUACUAUUUUUAUUUAUUUUUACUUUUACAUUUAAAAUCUGGUAUGCUACAUUUCACCGCAACCUCACCGGAACCAUUUAAAUGUACACCGUAACUUCAUAGUUUUAGAAGUCUGGUACCUUACAGGAUGCAUCACUAUAGACCACAAAGUCCUCGCCCUGCACCGGUAAGGCGAGUAUCGGAGCCGACGUCAAUCUUUUCUUCAACUCGUUGAAGCUUUGGUCACACUCGUCGCUCCAAAUAAACUUGACGCCCUUCUGUGUCAGAUUGGUAAGUGGAGUCACAAUCUUUGAAAAGUCCUCCACAAACCGUCGAUAAUAGCCCGCUAAGCCCACAAAGCUUCGAACCUCCGUGACGUUCGUCGGGCGUGGCCAAUUCUCGACCGCUUCGACUUUCCUCGGGUCAACCGAAACACCGCCCUCGGAAAUCACAUGCCCUAAGAAGGCAACCUCUCGAAGCCAGGCAACCUCUCGAAGCCAGAAGUCACAUUUCUUUAGCUUUGUGAAUAGCUUCUCGUCCCGAAGGAUUUGAAGCACUAUCCGCAAAUGCUCCGCGUGCUCCUCGUCGUUCCGCGAAUAGACCAAGAUGUCGUCUAUGAAGACCAUGACAAAUUGGUCCAAGCACGCUUUGAACACACGGUUAAUUAAAUCCAUGAACACCGCCGAGGCAUUAGUGAGCCCAAAAGGCAUAACCGUGUACUCAUAGUGUCCAUAACGCGUACGAAACGCGGUCUUCUGAAUAUCCUCCGACUUGAUCUUUAACUGAUGAUAGCCGGAUUGUAGGUCUAUCUUCGAGUACACUUGUGACCCUUGCAAUUGGUCAAAUAAGUCAUCAAUUCGCGGCAACGGGUACUUAUUCUUUAUCGUGACCCUAUUCAACUCUCGAUAGUCCACGCAGAGUCAAAACGAGCCAUCCUUCUUGCGCACAAACAACACCGGGGCUCCCCACGACGAUACGCUCGGCCUGAUGAACUCCUUGUCGAGAAUAUCCUGCAACUGAUCCCUCAAUUCCCUUAGCUCUGCUGGCACCAUACGGUAUGGGGCCCUUGAGAUCGGCGCCGUCCCGGGAAUCAAGUCUAUAACGAACUCGAUCUCCCGAUCCGGCGGCAUCCCCAGUAACUCCGUGGGAAAUACAUCUGGGAACUCCCGCACCACAGAUAACUCUUCUAAAUUCGGAGUCACUCAGUUCACUUCCAUGACGGUCGCCAAAAAUGCUACGCAGCCGCUGUUGACCAACUUUCUAGCUCUCGUCGCCGAUAUCGUCGCGACGAAGCAAGAGCUCCGACAAGCUCGAUAAACGAACUCCUUCUGUCCUGACUCCCGAAAGGUGAUCGAUUUAUUCUUACAAUCGAUCAUGGCGUAAUACUUCGAGAGCCAGUCCAUGCCGAAAAUGACAUCAUGCGCCUCCAAUCUCGUGAGUUCCAACAUCCGGAUAGGCAUUAUCCAGUCACCUACUUGUACUGGGCAUGACGAACACUCCGUGUAGGUAUUAAACGACGACUCAGGACCCACGACUCGCCAUUUGCCACUUGCUUCUAUGGGUAUGUCAUGCAUGCGUGCAAAUGCUCUACUAAUAAAGGAAUGCGUGGCACCCGUGUCGAACAUAGCCCUGGAGCGAACUCCAUUGAUUAGAACCAUACCUGCCACAACAUCAGGCUCCUCGGCUUGGGCAGGCUCCUCGGCAUGGGCCUGAGCGGCGAAUACUCGUCCGCUCGGCGCUGAUCGUGUAAGGUUUCGGACUUCUAAAAUUAUGAAGCUACGGUGUAAAUUUGGUUGGAGAGCCAUUUGAAGGGUUCCAGUGAAGUUCGGUGAAGUUUGGAAGCAUCCGGGCGAUUCGGUGCGCGUAGGCGCGAAAACGGGACCCGAAAGGCUAUGUCGGACCAUGAACUAAAUCCGACAUUAGCGGGGAUGAAAAGAUGAUGAAAACAUGCUCGAAAACAUGUUUGGAGAGUCUCGAUUCGAUUUGAAAAGAAUCGAAGGUCAAACGAGCAAAAACGAGCGAAAACGGACCCCGAAAAUGAAAAAGACUGAAAUUUGACUAAGUCCUAAAAAUGCUGAAAUUCUGGUCCUUCGGGGACCGGUCUCUCACUGCCUGGGACCGGUCCCAGAGCGCGAAAAACACCCAGUUUGGGCUGUUGCAAGGUUGGAGAAGUAGAGGGGCAGGUAUUGUUUUACUUUAUGGCACUAGAUCUCGUGCAUUAUUUGACACAGGUGCAUCGCAUUCAUUCAUCAGUAGCUCAUUUGCUAAGACGCAUGAUAUUGAGAUUUCGGAUAGUGCGGAUGCCUGGUGGGUGUAUGCCCCUGAGCACACAUUUAGUGUCCACGAAGUGUGUGCGGCAUGUCCAGUACAGAUUGGUGAUUGGAUUAUGCCAGCAGAUCUGUUAGUGUUAAGCCAUAUGAAAGGCUUUGAUGUGAUCCUUGGGAUGGACUGGCUUACAAAGUACUAUGCCACGAUUGAUUGUGAAAGUAAAGUAAUUACUUUUCGUGAACCCGGACAAAAAGAAGUUGUAUACCGGGCGUGCAAGAGUUCGCUCUUCGCACUGACUGUAUCGUCGACGAGGGCAAGAAAGUUGAUUAGUAGUGGAUGUGCGGCUUAUUUGGCGACUGUAGUGGAGACUCAAAAGGAACUUCCAGCACUGAGUGAUAUUCCAGUGGUUCGAGAGUUUCCUGAUGUAUUUCCUGCGGAGUUACCGGGAUUGCCGCCGGAUCGGGAAAUUGAGUUCGUUAUUGACUUGGUUCCCGGAACGGCGCCAAUUUCGAAGGCUCCGUACAGAAUGGCACCUGCUGAGUUGAGAGAGUUGAAAGCUCAGUUGCAGGACUUGAUGGAUAAAGGCUUUGUGAAGCCUAGUGUAUCACCGUGGGGAGCCCCAGUUCUGUUUGUAAAGAAGAAAGACGGAACGCUUCGACUGUGUGUUGAUUAUCGUGAACUGAACAAGAUCACAAUCAAGAAUAAAUAUCCAUUGCCGCGAAUCGAUGAUUUAUUUGAUCAGUUGCAAGGUUCACGAGUGUAUUCGAAGAUUGAUCUUCAAUCGGGUUACCACCAACUGAAGAUCAAACCAGAAGAUGUGCACAAGACAGCGUUCCGCACUCGUUAUGGUCAUUACGAGUUUACAGUGAUGCCGUUUGGGCUGACCAAUGCCCCUGCAGCAUUUAUGGAUCUAAUGAACAGGAUCUUUAAGCCGCUGUUGGAUCAGUGUGUGGUGGUAUUUAUAGAUGAUAUCCUGAUCUUUUCUCGAAGUAAC